Molecule: ribosomal RNA, 253 nt
Filed under: uncultured bacterium
Lineage: Bacteria
Description: partial 16S ribosomal RNA
Rfam family: Bacterial small subunit ribosomal RNA
Source: RNAcentral
UACGGGGGGGGCAAGCGUUGUUCGGAAUUACUGGGCGUAAAGGGCGCGUAGGCGGCCUGCUAAGUCGGAUGUGAAAUCCCACGGCUCAACCGUGGAACUGCUGGGCAUACUGACGAUCUUGAGGCACUCAGGGGCUGUCGGAACAAAUGGUGGAGCGGUGAAAUGCGUAGAUAUCAUUUGGAACGCCAACGGUGAAAACAGACAGCUGGGGGUGUCCUGACGCUGAGACGCGAAAGCCAGGGGAGCGAACGGG